Molecule: ribosomal RNA, 497 nt
Filed under: uncultured bacterium
Lineage: Bacteria
Description: partial 16S ribosomal RNA
Rfam family: Bacterial small subunit ribosomal RNA
Source: RNAcentral
GAUGAACGCUGGCGGCGUGCCUAAUACAUGCAAGUCGAGCGAACAGACGAGGAGCUUGCUCCUCUGACGUUAGCGGCGGACGGGUGAGUAACACGUGGAUAACCUACCUAUAAGACUGGGAUAACUUCGGGAAACCGGAGCUAAUACCGGAUAAUAUAUUGAACCGCAUGGUUCAAUAGUGAAAGACGGCUUUGCUGUCACUUAUAGAUGGAUCCGCGCCGCAUUAGCUAGUUGGUAAGGUAACGGCUUACCAAGGCAACGAUGCGUAGCCGACCUGAGAGGGUGAUCGGCCACACGGGAACUGAGACACGGUCCAGACUCCUACGAGAGGCAGCAGUAGGGAAUCUUCCGCAAUGGGCGAAAGCCUGACGGAGCAACGCCGCGUGAGUGAUGAAGGUCUUCGGAUCGUAAAACUCUGUUAUUAGGGAAGAACAAAUGUGUAAGUAACUAUGCACGUCUUGACGGUACCUAAUCAGAAAGCCACGGCUAACUACGUG